Long non-coding RNA from Callithrix jacchus (white-tufted-ear marmoset), 3616 nucleotides. RefSeq lists it as uncharacterized. The record is from RefSeq and is a predicted model, not a curated record. NCBI's taxonomy places the organism in Eukaryota, Metazoa, Chordata, Mammalia, Primates, Cebidae.
UAUUUCAGAGCUAAUUUGAAGAAGCCAGGCGCUUUUCUCUUCCCCUCCCCAAGACUGCCUUUAUCUGAAAGAAGAAAGAAGGCACUGUUACAUUUUGCAUGCAAAGAAAGCCAGAGUGGCUAGAUUACUCCCUUAGGGUAAUGGAGAAAGGAAAAAGAAAUUGAAAAAGGUCAGGUGAACAAAGCAGAAGGAAUGAAGAGGUUUGUGUGAUUCUUAGUGAAAUUGGACCAGUCUAAGCAACCAGACAGACUGAAUCUGGCUCUGUCACCUAGGCUGUAGUGCAAUGGCGUGAUCUCAGCUCACUGCAACCUCAGCCUCCUGGGUUCAAGUGAUUCUUCUGCCUCGGCCUCCCGAGUAGCUGGGACUACAGCCUGCAGAUACCUACCUUGCUUGGCCCUAUCUAAUUGAUUUUGGACUGAAUUAUUCAUGAAGGAAGGAGGAAGAAAGGAAGACAGGAAUCAGUUUCCAGGCUAGUCAUUCUUUUUGUAAUCUUACAACUUUUCACUGUGUUUGAGGCACUUCUUGCUUUUCUAUAUUCUCAUAUAAUUAUUUUCAUGUCUUUGGCAGAUGGAUUAGCUGGCUAUAAAAUUCUAGCUUAACUGUUUUUUUUUCUUUUCACUACAUUAAAAAAAUAAACAUUUUAAAGGGAAUUAUUUUAGUUUUACAGAAAAGCAGAUAAUACAAAGUUUUUGUGUACUCACCCAUAUUUGUCCGGAUGUUAACAUCUUAGAUGACCAUCUCUCUGCACUUUUAAAAUACCAUUUCAUUAACUUCUUAUAUCUACUUUUGCUGACAAGGAAUCUACUGUCAAUACAAUUGUCACACUGUUUUAGGUUGUUUGUCUUUUCUCGCUGAUGAAUUUUAAGACCGUCUCUUUACCCUUCAUUUCAACAUUUCACUUCAGUAUGUCCAAGCUUGGUUUUAUUUGUAUUUAUUCUACUUAGUAUUUGGAUUAUACUGAUCUGAUGAUUAAUUAAUUAAUUAAGACUUAAUUAAUUUCUUUAAUUCUGGAAAAUGAUCAGUAACAAUUUUUUUUUUUGAAGCCGUUUCACCGCAUCCUCGGCCUCCUGGAUUCAAGUGAUUCUCAUGCCUCAGCCUCCCAAGCAGUUAGGUAUGUGCCACCAUGCCCAGCUAAUUUUUGUAUUUUUAGUAGAAAUAGGGUUUUGCCAUAUUGGCCAGCCUGGUGUCAAACUUCUGGCCUCAAGUGAUCUGCCCACCUCGGCCUCCCAAAGUACUGGGAUUACAGGCAUGAACCCAUCCAACAACAAGUUUUUCAAACAUUUAUUCCUUAUCAUUCAUUUCAGUUUCUUCUUUGGAAAUCCUAUUCAUUAAAAUAUUUAAAUCUCUCAAUCUAUCUUUCACAUUUCAUACACUGCUAUUUAAAUUCUAUCUAUCUAUCUAUUAUCUCUUCCUCUCUCUCUGUCAUCUCUGUCUAAAAGUUGGGGAGGACAGUAUAGUUCUGUUUGUUUGUUUGUUUGUUUAUUUAUUUAUUUAUGAGACAAGGCCUUUCUCUGUUGCCCGGGCUGGAAUGCAGUGGCAUGAUCAUAGCUCAUGGUAGCCUUAAAUUCCUGGACUCAAGCCAUCUUCCUGUCUAAGCCUCCCAAUAGCUGGACUUACAGGCAUGUGCCACCAUGUCUGGCUAAUUAAAAAAAUUUUUUUGUAUAGAUGGAGUCUCACUAUGCUGCACAGGCUGGUCUCAAAGUCCCGGCUUCAAGUGAUGCUCCCACCUCGGCCUCCCAAAGUAGUGAGAUUAUAGGUGUGAGCCAUGGUGCCCAAUCCUGUUUUUGAAUUUUAAAAGUCAAUCAAUAUAUAUUAUUUUCUAAAUUUCUAAUUGUUUCUUUUAAAUGUUCACUUAUUUCUGUGGCAUUUUAAAACCUGUUUUUUUGGUUGAAGAAUUUUGUAUUCUCUUUUUUGCAAUGCUCACUGUUUAUAAUUUAAAGUCUUUGUUCAGCUGUCCAAUAAAAUUAAUUUUCCAGACUGAAUGCAUGAUUGUUAAUUUUGUUGGCUUUCUUUUGUAGCAACCUAUUUUUGUUUCUGGAAGUUUUGGUUUACCAGUAAUUUUGAAUAAGGCUUUUUUUGUUUGGUUUUUCAUUUGUCUCUCUUUCUCCCAUCUCUACCCAUCUGCCUCUCUGUUCAACAUUUUUGCAGUUCUCCCUUACAACGUCUUUCAGAACCCUAAAUCUAUAAUGAGGCUUUAAAUUAAUGGCUGGUUGGUUGGAGUUCCUGCCCUGUAGUGAUGGUAGAGUACCCAAUAACCAGUCAUAUGGCCAAGGAGCAGUUUGGCUCAGUUCUUAGUGGCAGGGCUGUGGGUUUUUAAGCUAUAGUGUAUGCAUUCUCCACAGGGGCAAUGUUGCACCUGACCAGUUAAAAUUUGAUUCUUAGAAAGUGAAUAAUCUUGGAUAUUACAAUGGUUUGUGGAUCUUCAAAGCACAACCCUACCUCCUAAAAAUUGUAUUCCUUAGCAUUUAAUUUCUCUCACUAGGAAAAAUUUAAAUAACAUGUAUCUUUUUAGAGGGAUAAUAAUGAAAAUAAAAGUUGAGAAACACUGCAACACCUCUAAGCAGAAGUUGGCUGUUUUUUUUUUCAGUCUACUUCCUUAAGCAGCGAGCCCGAUUCUGCCUUAUCUAUAGAACUUUAAAAACUCCUAUGGAGCUGAGCUUCUGGCCACCAAGGCCCCAGCUUCAGCCUGGCUCUCAGUUUUCAGCUCUGUUCCAUGGAGAUGUUUAUCUUUUUUUGAAUAUGACACAUUUUCUCCUUUUACAUACUUUAUCCCAUAUUUUCACAUAUUUGGAUCAUAAAAAGGAAAUCAAACCAUGAACUCAUUGCCCUCUCUUGAUGAAAUCAAUAUCUAUUAUGUUAUUUACCAACUACUAUUCUGAUGACCAUAAAGUUUUUUUUUCUCUUAACUUUUGUGACUUACAAUACAGAAAUAUCCAGCUGUUAGAUAGCAAUUGUUUUCAACCAGUUAUUUAUGCUUUAGUUUCUAGCUUUGUAUUUUUGAGGUUGCUAAAUAAGGUAAAUCCUCUUUAGUGGUGUCGUCUUCAAUGAAAGGUUUUGGAUUUUGCAGUUGGAAAUUUAUGGCUGAAUUUCUUUUCUUUUUUUUUUUUGAGAUGGAGUCUCGCUCUGUUGCCCAGGCUGGAGUGCAGUGGCAUGAUCUUGGCUCACUAUAACCUCUUAUGGCUGAAUUUCUCUCGGGUAUCAUUCAAUGCAUUUACAAUAUAUUGUUUGACAACAUUUGUAAUUGUAUUUCGAAUCCUUCUUCCAUUGUUUCAAUCAGGAGAGCAUGAACUUCGACCUUCAUGUUUCAUCUGGCAGUAUAGCACAGGGGUUAAAGGGCAGAGUGCUCUGUUUGCAAAUUCUAGCUGUGCCAUUCAUUUGCUAGCUGUUUGCCUUGGGCAAGUUAUUAAAUCUCUCCAUGCCUCAGUUUUCUUAUAUGUAAAAUGGGUUGAUUAUAAUAAGAGUAGUUCCUAUCUCAUAAAACUGUGUGAAACAUUAAAUGUAUGAAUAUAUGCAAAACUCUUAGAACAGACGUAAGAUAAGCACUCAAUAAGCAUCAAUUUUUGCAUUUUUCCCCAUGCUUUGCCUCUUGUUUUUAAGCUUUUAUAUUUCUGAGAAU